UCCCAUAACGGUUGCCAGAUAACAUGUCUC
RNAcentral lists this non-coding RNA (30 nucleotides) under Mus musculus (house mouse). Lineage: Eukaryota; Metazoa; Chordata; Mammalia; Rodentia; Muridae. The record is from RNAcentral.